This is a long non-coding RNA of Mytilus trossulus (common blue mussel), 598 nucleotides long. RefSeq lists it as uncharacterized. The transcript is spliced from 4 exons. The record is from RefSeq and is a predicted model, not a curated record. Lineage: Eukaryota; Metazoa; Mollusca; Bivalvia; Mytilida; Mytilidae.
AUGUAAUAUUGCGGUAAAUACAGAAAUUGACAUAUUGCCGUUGGAAGUACACGUUGACUUCCGGGUGUUGCCGUUAGAAUGGAACAUGUAGACAUGCCGUUCACACCUUGUGAAUAGUAAAAGAAUGCGGAUCGCUUUUCUAGCUGUGAUAUAUCUGGGAUCACUAUUGUUUUUAUCAUACUGUGGAAACGAUCCUGCAAUCAAAGGAUAUGCCAAACGGAUAGAAAAGUUAAAACCACCCCCGCCUCCGCCUCGUCCAACAAGUGAUGAUAAAAGAGAAUGGGAAGCCUACUGCAAUUACCGUGAUCAACACCAAAGACCACUUGCUGAUUUUGAAUGUCAAAUGAGAAGUGCUAACAGUCAAAAAUUCUGAAAAAGGUCAUCGAUUAACUUGCUUUAAAGAGGUGGUAGCUGACCCGGAUGAAGAAUCGGAGCGGAUCUGUGAGCUCUCAUAGGAACCAAUAUGCGAUUGCAUUUACCCGAAACUGGUUUAGAUAGUGUUCUUCUGAUAUAUGACAGCCAAUAUUUAUUUCUUUUUUUACAUAUUGUUAUUGUUUUAUGAUUAAAAAUUACAAAUAAUAAAACUAAUAAUUGCUGA